UGGAGCUCGUUAGCCGUGGUAGGCAAUCUGCCUAGGAGAGGGACAACUCCGAACAACAAACCCGGGCAGGUGGAGCUCGUUAGCCGUGGUAGGCAACUCACCUAGGAGAGGGACAACUCCGAUUACAAACCCGGGCAGGUGGAGGUCGUUAGCGUGAGCAGUUCACCUAGGAGAGCAAACUCCGAUUACAAACCCGGGCAGGUGGAGGUCGUUAGCGUAAGCAGUUCACCUAGGAGAGCAAACUCCAAUUACAAACCCGGGACGGUGGAGAUCGUUAGCGUGAGCAGUUCACCUAGGAGAAGGAUAACUCUGACCACAAACCCGGGCAGGAGGGGGUCGUUAGCCGUGGUAGGCAGUCCUCCUAGGAGAAGGAAAACUCCGAAUUCAAACCAACCAAACACACACACACACACACACACACGACCAACCAACCGGGGAGGUGGGGCUCGUUAUAGGCGUCGUAGACAAUCCACCAAGGGGAAUCAACAAAUAAAAGGAUAAUAAAAGCGAACACACGAGAAGAAGAAUAUGAAAUUAGAACCGGACAAAAAAGGAUAAUAUAAGAUGGAACACCGAAUAAAGGAUAGUUAGGAGAACAGCAUCGAGAAAAGCAUAAGAUACACAUGGAUCAUCCAGACUGAAACAAG
Molecule: long non-coding RNA, 647 nt
Organism: Eriocheir sinensis (Chinese mitten crab)
Lineage: Eukaryota; Metazoa; Arthropoda; Malacostraca; Decapoda; Varunidae
Exons: 2
Source: RefSeq, a predicted model, not a curated record